This 442-nucleotide ribosomal RNA is filed under the name uncultured bacterium. Its description in RNAcentral is "partial 16S ribosomal RNA". It matches the Rfam family "Bacterial small subunit ribosomal RNA", at positions 339 to 795 of the family's 1533-position model. The record is from RNAcentral.
CUACGGGGGGCUGCAGUCGAGAAUCUUCCGCAAUGGGCGCAAGCCUGACGGAGCAAUGCCGCGUGAGGGAUGACGGCCCUAGGGUUGUAAACCUCUGUCAGAAGGGACGAAGAACGUGACGGUACCUUCAGAGGAAGCCAUGGCUAACUACGUGCCAGCAGCCGCGGUAAUACGUAGAUGGCGAGCGUUAUUCGGAUUUACUGGGCGUAAAGGGUCCGUAGGGGGUCUGCCAAGUCUGAUGUGAAAUCCUGCGGCUCAACCGCGGAACUGCAUUGGAAACUGGUGGACUAGAGUGUGCGAGGGGUGAGCGGAAUUCCUGGUGUAGCGGUGGAAUGCGUAGAUAUCAGGAAGAACACCGAUGGCGAAGGCGGCUCACUGGCGCAUCACUGACCCUGAGGGACGAAAGCGUGGGUAGCAAACAGGAUUAGAUACCCUCGUAGUC